UAACGGCCUACCAACGCGACGACGGGUAGCCGGCCUGAGAGGGCGACCGGCCACACUGGGACUGAGACACGGCCCAGACUCCUACGGGAGGCAGCAGUGGGGAAUAAUGCGCAAUGGGCGAAAGCCUGACGCAGCGACGCCGCGUGAGGGAUGACGGCCGCCGGGUUGUAAACCUCUUUCAGCUCUGACGAAGCGCAAGUGACGGUAGGAGCAGAAGAAGCACCGGCCAACUACGUGCCAGCAGCCGCGGUAAUACGUAGGGUGCAAGCGUUGUCCGGAAUUAUUGGGCGUAAAGAGCUGGUAGGCGGUCUGUCGCGUCGAAUGUGAAAAUAAGAGGAUCAACCUCGGACCUGCAUUCGAUACGGGCAGACUAGAGUUCGGUAGGGGAGUCUGGAAUUCCUGGUGUAGCGGUGAAAUG
Molecule: ribosomal RNA, 418 nt
Filed under: uncultured Frankineae bacterium
Lineage: Bacteria; Bacillati; Actinomycetota; Actinomycetes; Frankiales
Description: bacterial SSU rRNA
Rfam family: Bacterial small subunit ribosomal RNA
Source: RNAcentral